RNAcentral lists this ribosomal RNA (490 nucleotides) under uncultured bacterium. RNAcentral describes it as "partial 16S ribosomal RNA". It matches the Rfam family "Bacterial small subunit ribosomal RNA", at positions 30 to 507 of the family's 1533-position model. The record is from RNAcentral.
AUUGAACGCUGGCGGCAGGCCUAACACAUGCAAGUCGAACGGUAACAGGAAGAAGCUUGCUUCUUUGCUGACGAGUGGCGGACGGGUGAGUAAUGUCUGGGAAACUGCCUGAUGGAGGGGGAUAACUACUGGAAACGGUAGCUAAUACCGCAUAACGUCUCAAGACCAAAGAGCGGGACCUACCGGCCUCUUGCCAUCGGAUGUGCCCAGAUGGGAUUAGCUAGGAGGUGGGGUAACGGCUCACCUAGGCGACGAUCACUAGCUGGUCGGAGAGGAUGACCAGCCACACUGGAACUGAGACACGGUCCAGACUCCUACGGGAGGCAGCAGUGGGGAAUAUUGCGCAAUGGGCGCAAGCCUGAUGCAGCCAUGCCGCGUGUAUGAAGAAGGCCUUCGGGUUGUAAAAUACUUUCAGCGGGGAGGAAGGGAGUAAAGUUAAUACCUUUGCUCAUUGACGUUACCCGCAGAAGAAGCACCGGCUAACUCCGUG